UUAAUAUCAAAUAAACAUCAUAGACGAACAAAAUAAAAAAUUAGGUCAUCACUGUCCACUUUUCAGCAAUCAGUAGUGCACCCCCGCACUUCCCUUCCCGCCGACCGCCGCGACCAGUCCAGAGAUCAAAUGGAUGACUCGAUGAAGCAAAUACAAGAAAAGCUUAUUGAGGUUGAAAUCGAAGGUGAAAGUCUUCUAUUAGCUCGGCAACAGUUAGUUGAAAAUGAUAGAGUGAGGAAUGGGAACAGGGAAGCAUUAACUGCACUAAGGAGGAGGGCUAAGACGACAAAAAGUAGCAUUCCUACUCCUUUUGACUCAAUAAUGAGGAAUGUUGAAUCAAGACCGUUGGUGAAAGAGAUUUGUUCAACGUGUGGUAAUCAUGAUUCAAAGGAGAAGACUUGGGUCAUGUUCCCAGGAACUGAUGUAUUUGCCAAUAUUCCUUUCCAUGCUGCUCAUACCAUUCUGGAGAAAGAUCAAACUCUACUCGAUUACGAAGCUAAUAAACUUCAGAGCAUUGUAAAGGAGAAGUCUUUAUGGAUAUCAGAUAAAGGAGUUCUUGCUGAUACGGUUAGUCCAGGUGUCCUCAGAUCUAUGGUGACCUUAAGUGACAAACCAAAGACUGCACGGAAUGAAUGAUCAACUUCAGUAAUAAUUGCAUAUGGUGGGUAAAUCCUUGUACUCCCUACCUCUUACACGUGCGCAAGCAUACCUUAAACACCAGCAUCUCUGUAUUAACGGAGUAUCCAUCCACUUGUAGCAUUUGCAUCUGUCAAGAAACAAGUUGUAGUCUGAAGCCUGUGCUAACAGGAACGUAACUGCUGGAUUGUUUCUUCAUUUCGCCAGAUUCCUUUUCGAAAAAGCUGAAGUUAUUGCAGAUUUGGGUGAAGGUAUCAAUGUCAAUCUGGUGUUCAUAGUUGACAAGAUUAUUUGGUGAUCCAUGAUCAAAUUACAAGAAAGGAUAUAAAUUACAUUCUCUUAGUUCUGUUAAUAACAUUUGAAUCAAUCUUGACAGUAACUUAAAUGUGUGUGCCACAGUUGAUUGUAAAAAUGGACCAGUGUGUACUGACUGAUAUUUGAAGGGACCUCCAAUAUUACAUGCGUGGGGAAAAAAAUACGAAUUUCUGAACUGCUUCAGAAAGGGGAGAAUUAUAUUUCUUUUUUAAAGAGGAAGUUCAUUGGUA
Solanum lycopersicum (tomato) is the source of this 1181-nucleotide RNA transcript. RefSeq lists it as uncharacterized. The record is from RefSeq and is a predicted model, not a curated record. Lineage: Eukaryota; Viridiplantae; Streptophyta; Magnoliopsida; Solanales; Solanaceae.